GGCAGACUGCUCAGGCUGUUCAAAGGGCCUGCACCUGCCCCAGCACAGCAGCCUGAAGAGCCCAGCAGUGCUCCAUUCCUACACAGACACGGGAAGAGGGCAGAACCAGAGGCCAUCGUGGCCUAACGGUGAGCUUUGGGUGUGCCAAAAAGCAAAUGAAGCAGCAGCAGCAGCAGCGGAGUGGCUGAGACUCAGAGCCGCNUGCGUGGUUUUGGGCCUUUGCCCCGGCAGGCCUGGAGUAGCUGCUGCUACUGAGGUCUUCUCCUUUCCUCCAGGACAACAGCCACGUGCAGCUGCUCGCCAUUCAGCUCUUCGGCAAGGUGAUGGAGCAGGUCAUGGAAGAGGGGAAAAAGCCUCUCACGAGAAUCGUGAACCAGAGCCUGCUCCCUCUCUUCUUGCGCUGGCAUGAGGAGAACUGGCGCGUGGCAAAGGUGAGGUUUUGUGUGACGGUGCUGCUGCUGCUGCAUCGCUGGCAGGGGGCUCGGCUGCCUCCAGCCCUGGCACCUCGCGGGCUCCAGCCUCCCCCUGGCCUUGGCACAGGGACGCGGGUCCCGUGCCCCGGGCUCUGGUGCCACCUGCGGCUCUCUGCUGCUCUCCAGGCAUCUCGCCAAACACUGCUUUGUGCGGCACGGUUCCUGAGGAGGAGCGAUCUCGAGGUGCUACUGAGGAAGCAGCUGCGGAUGAAGUUCGCCGAGUGCCUGGUAAGGACGGCCUGGAAGCCCCAGCCACGGCCUGGAGAAGACCCCGGUGCUCAGUGUUUGGGGUGGCAGCCGGCCCCUGCUCGGCGCUACAGCCAGGGGCGCCGGCCUGCGCCCCACACGCUGCUCCCUUCCCUGGGCCCGCGGGCUCUUGCCCGGGCUCCUCCGGCGCCGAGCCGGGUGCCCACGGAGUCCCGGCCCGGCCUCGGGGCUGUGCGGGCCGGGCAGGCCGGUGCUGGACGCGGGGAGAAGCCCGGCCGAGGGGCAGAGCCCGCGCUGAGCCUUCCCUGCUGGCGCUCUCCGCAGCUGCUGGAGGACGAGAGCCGAGCGGCCGAACACGUGCGCUGGGCCCUGCCGUGCCUGCAGAGCCCACAGAGGUGCCUGCGAGAGGCGGCCGUCAGGUUCAUCGGGGUCGCCGGGGUGCUCAUGAUGGGGCAGAAGGAGGAGCUCCAGGUGCUCAGCGAGGCCCUUCAAGCCCUCAGAGAAGAUGAGAGCCCCUCCUUAAUGAGCCAGGUUGUCCAGCAGACGUUUGACAGAAGAUCUGCUCAACUUCGUCUGCUGGAUCAAUAGAACCGGUGUCCUUCGGCGACCUCCAGGUCCCAUUGAAGAUGGGACCACCUGCAGAGCAGAGGGGACCAGCUCCAGCUCCAGCUCCAGCUGAUGCUGGUCCUAGCUGAACCUGUUGGAAGCUCCAGCAGCUCCUGCAUCUCUCUCCCUGUUGGCAGCUCCCUCCCUCCAGCCCUUGGCCCCUGCCCAUCCCCUUUUUUCCCUCCCAGCUCACCCCUUCGCUUUGCCUUCCCCUAUUAAACAGUUUGAUUUCUUCACUUUACCCACGUCUCUGUGGAGCUGAAGUAGCACAAAACCUGAGCCCUGGGACACGCAGGGCCCUGCUGCCGUUCCCUUCUGCGCUGUGUUUUGUGCACGGACACAGAGGAACGAGCUGAGGCUGCAAAGGUCCCUGUCCUGCAGGUGCAGCAGCACAAUAUCGUGGAGUUCAAGGUCACUCUGAGCACGCUGCAGGGGACAAGGACCCUGGCUUUUAGAAGAGCCAACCUGAGUAUGCUCUGAUCCCAGUCGUGAGGGAUUCCAUGGCGAGCAUUGACGGAGGGCAAAGGAGCUUGCAGGGUUGGAAGUUUUCACAGAGCUUCCUCCAAGCACAGCAAUGCUCCAUUCCUACACAGACACGGGAAGAGGGCAGAACCAGAGGCCAUCGUGGCCUAACGGUGAGCUUUGGGUGUGCCAAAAAGCAAAUGAAGCAGCAGCAGCAGCAGCGGAGUGGCUGAGACUCAGAGCCGCGACCGUGCUGGGUGUGGGUCUGGCGGUUCAGCUCUCCCCACAAGCGAGGAAUCGCAGCCCCUGCCUCAGAGCCAGUCAGAAAGCCAACCAAGUGAGACCAGAGGCUGGGGAGCCUUCCCAUCUCUCUUGGCCAUGGCUGCAAAGCACCACUGCGUCUUCCUGCGCCUGUGUUUGGGGUGUGCUGAGCCCAGAGGCGGCCAGCUCGGGCUCUGUUGUCCCAAGAGCGUUCUGGGUGGGCACGGGAAGUGCUGUGUGCACAGUGGAGUGUCCUGGAAGGUGCUCACGAGAAGCUCCUGUGGGAACAGGGCUCUGCUCUCUGGCUGGGAACAGCCUGGAUUUGCUGCCAAGACCGCAGGCAGGAGUUGAGGCACGUGAAGAGGCCGCGGGCAGCUCGUGUUUGCAGGGGACGUGGGGCUGUGCACCAAAAGAGACAUGGGGAAACAGACUUAGGUUAAGGAAUGGCAUUCUAGCCAAGAAGAGGGAAUUUAUAUUGUUUAGGGAAUGAAUACACCCUACAAGUACUGACUAUGUAGCAAUGCACUUUAGCGCUUCCUUACACUAGAUUUAGUGAAAGGUGAAACAUAUGGUCGGGUCUUAACAUAAAAUUAGGUGCAAAACCUUUUUUUCCUGUAAAGCAAUUUUCAGGAGAUUAAGAUCUACAAAUGGAUUAGAAAAUACAUGUUCUAUCUAUACCUUUAAAACAACCUUUACAUUGCUGAUAGAUGGUAUGUUUGGAAAUAGCUGAAGGAGAUCAGCUCUGUCCAAACAUAUUUCUUAGUGUUACAGAUGAGUGUGUUUUUCCAGUAGCUAGGUAACCAGAAACACUUCCCUUCAGCUUGUUGGCCUUUGGACUUUUUCAUUUUAAGUAGAGAAAAAGUGAAAAAGAAGACAUUGGGUUAAUAGAUGUCUGUGGUAACAAGAUGUACACAACUUUGUCUCCUCAAGGGUGGACCUGCCCCUGCAGUUAAUAUGCAGCUCAAACUUGCUUUGUUCUGUUGUUGGACUGCUUUGGAAUUCUGCUUGGGAAUGCCCUCAUUGACCGUUUUGAGGCCGCAAGUGGGUUGAACUGCAUUUUUAGUCAUUGAAGUGCACUGGAAAAUGCAACUAGAUCCUCAAUUUGACCUUGAAAAAUGAAAUGCUUUGAAAUGUAGGAUUUGCUUCACACCAGCAAUGUAAGAACUGUUUCUGCUGAGCUUUAAUUUGGUAUUGUCUGAAACUCUUUUAUAUUUCCAGAGGACAUUUACUUUCAAAUCUCUAGGGAAAUCCAGAUUUCCAGACAUUUAUUUUCAAAUAUCUGAGGAAAAGGAACUAAUUUUCUAUUCCAAACACAUUGAAAGGCAACAGAACAUAAUUCUGUGGUUUUGCCACUGACAUUGGCUGAUGAAAUAAUAAUGGUUAUUUUUAAUGAGAACAGAGAGGAUUUUUUGAGGUGCAGUGAGAACCAGAAUGAUUCCAUCAUAUCUGUCCUUAGAUUUCUGAAUGGUUUUGCAGAGAAAAAGACGCAAGUGAUUCCAGAGAUUUCUAAAUUUUGUGCUAGAAAGGGAAGAUGUUCAUAGCAAGAGUAUAUGGUGAGAUUUUAAUGGGAUAUAUUGUUUCAUGCAAUACCUCUUAGUUGUAUCUUAAUAAAGACUUCAAAAUGUGUUUGGAGGAUGUUUCU
RNAcentral lists this long non-coding RNA (3651 nucleotides) under Parus major (Great Tit). Its description in RNAcentral is "lncRNA (ENSPMJG00000000500.1)". The record is from RNAcentral. Lineage: Eukaryota; Metazoa; Chordata; Aves; Passeriformes; Paridae.